ACGAACGCUGGCGGCGUGGAUUAGGCAUGCAAGUCGAACGGUAUCAGCCUUUCGGGGAGUGAGAGAGUGGCGAACGGGUGGAGUAACACGUAGGUGAUCUACCCUCAAGACGGGGACGAACCCAGGGAAACUUGGGCUAAUACCGGAUGUGAGCUAUCGCGAGAUAGUUUGAAAGGUGGCUUCGGCUGCCGCUUGGGGAUGAGCCUGCGUCCUAUUAGCUAGUUGGUGAGGUAACGGCUCACCGAGGCAGUGAUAGGUAGGCGGCCUUAACGGGUGGUCGCCCACACUGGGAUUGAGAUACGGCCCAGACUCCUACGGGAGGCAGCAGUCGAGAAUAGUCUACAAUGGUCGAAAGACUGAUAGUGCGACGCCGCGUGAACGAAGAAGCCCUUCGGGGUGUAAAGUUCUUUUAUAUGUGAGCAGUGACAUCUAUAUUAAUAGUAUGGGUGUAGAGAUAUUAGCAUAUGAAUAAGCAACGGCUAACUCCGUG
Molecule: ribosomal RNA, 490 nt
Filed under: uncultured bacterium
Lineage: Bacteria
Description: bacterial SSU rRNA
Rfam family: Bacterial small subunit ribosomal RNA
Source: RNAcentral